Molecule: ribosomal RNA, 253 nt
Filed under: uncultured bacterium
Lineage: Bacteria
Description: partial 16S ribosomal RNA
Rfam family: Bacterial small subunit ribosomal RNA
Source: RNAcentral
UACGUAUUGUCCGAGCGUUGUCCGGAAUUACUGGGCGUAAAGAGCUCGUAGGUGGUUUGUCGCGUUGUCCGUGAAAACUCACAGCUCAACUGUGGGCGUGCGGGCGAUACGGGCAGACUGGAGUACUGCAGGGGAGACUGGAAUUCCUGGUGUAGCGGUGGAAUGCGCAGAUAUCAGGAGGAACACCGGUGGCGAAGGCGGGUCUCUGGGCAGUAACUGACGCUGAGGAGCGAAAGCGUGGGGAGCGAACAGG